GAUUUUAUCAUUCUGUUUUAAUCUGUAUUUAAAAAAUGAAUACUUUCCUCCUCGGUACAGAGGAGCUUUGGUUAUAUUUUGCUGUCAUGAUGACAAACAUGACAAAAUAUACUUUGGGUGAAAAAUUAUGUGAUGAUCUUUUAUUGUUGUUUAUUGUUUGUUUUUGAAGUUUAUUGUCUGUGGAAGCCUGUCUAUCUACACUGGGCUACAUCCAUCCAAGAAGAUGGUGACUGUGAGUCUGGCCAUGUACAUCAUGUCUAUCUUGGGAAUCGUGGUCUCUGUUGGCUACAGGAUAUUCAGCUUUGCCCAUUUAAGCGACCUUAGGUACAGGACCCGUUGGGGGGACUACAGUGACUGGGGCUUUUACAGAAUGAGCAGCUUUUAGCUGUGGAAAUCAUAUUAUUCAUUUCCUCUCUGUGCGUGUUAGUGCUCCUCAUCUUCUUGUGUGCCGUCGCACGUUUAGCUCUGAAAUCUACACGCACUCAGGUUAUCAUCCAGCUCAUCCCACCACCACAGAGGACUGACACACCAUCAAAUUAAGAUCAACCUUUUGAAGAAUUAUCCUACAAUAACUAGCACUGCUUUUCCUGCAGCACAUCUAACCUGUUUAAGAGACUUGCCCCAAUUCUGUUACAGUAUAUUGCAUGUGAAGAUUACACCACCUAGAGGCAGCAGCCCUGUAGCCCAGCCACAGCUUUUUUUUUAUUUACCUAAAUCUGCAGUAUGUGUAACUGCAGUAAAAAUGCAAUGCUGAACCACAUUUAUUUUACAUGCACUUACAAGAGAAUAUCAUAACCACUAAGCUCUCUACCAAGGCUUAUGCGUACGCACUAUAUGGGUCAGUAAACAUGUACCUAUGUUACAUUACUUUCUAUUAAAGCUUCAAGGUGAACAGGUACUUCUGACACUGACCAAUAAAGUUAACAGAUUAACUCCAUGGUAAUGUAUAUUGUAUAAACAAUAAUAUAGUGAUUUUAGUUGACACUGGUGGAGUCAGACAUGCCUCAAUAUUUACAUUAAACUAAAUCAGUUUUGUUAGCCUUUAACCUUUUUGUUGUCAACAUGUCUGAUCAUUAACUAUGUUAUCUGCAUGAAUAUGACAUCAUGUGCAGUCUAGUUUAGACUCUACUUGCAGCUUUUGAUAAUCAAUAUGAACCUCUAUACACUUAGCUAAAGGCAUUUUUAUUUAUGACUUUGGAUGAAUGAGCAGAUGUUGGCUCUGGUCUGGACUGAUUGCAACUUUCUAGAUGUUCAAAAUAACCAUAUAUUUCAGGAACUGAAAUGAUGACAUGACAACCAGCCAGCAUUUUUUUCAAAGCUUAUGACUUGAGUAUGUUUAUAUAGUUCAGGAUAUUUAUUGACUUGACUGAUAUGAAGAGCCUGCUUGGAAGCCUGUGAAUGCGUUAACAACACAGAUUUUAGGUCUUUGCAAAAGGCAGUGCCUGGGCUGGGACCACUUUAGGAAUAUAGCUUUAGUUUUUAGCUAGAUUGAUGACCUAUUACACAACAAACCUAUAUAGUGCACUGUAUUUUGAAUCUGAAUUGGUUUACUUUACUACUAAAUACAAAGUUAAUAGGUCUUGGCUCAUGUUGGGGUAUUAAAAAGACCCGAAAGAAAUUUGGUCAUGCAACUUCUGUGUUAAAUUUUAGUGGUUUGAGCAACAUUCUUUUUAAUCACUGGGCGACCACAAAAACUGCAAUGAUACCACAACAUUUUGGUCAUUUAAUUUAUUUCUAUUCAUUUCAUUGAGUAAACAAACAGGUAGUCAAGGGAGGAGGAAAAUCCAGUGGAGGAGUUUGUUGUAGUCAUAUUUGGUCCAAGUGUAUUUUAACGUUCAUAGUAUUUAAUAGACGUAGCU
This is an RNA transcript of Larimichthys crocea (large yellow croaker), 1859 nucleotides long. RefSeq lists it as uncharacterized. The transcript has 4 exons. NCBI's taxonomy places the organism in Eukaryota, Metazoa, Chordata, Actinopteri, Sciaenidae. The record is from RefSeq and is a predicted model, not a curated record.